This is a long non-coding RNA of Pristis pectinata (smalltooth sawfish), 173 nucleotides long. RefSeq lists it as uncharacterized. NCBI's taxonomy places the organism in Eukaryota, Metazoa, Chordata, Chondrichthyes, Rhinopristiformes, Pristidae. The transcript is spliced from 3 exons. The record is from RefSeq and is a predicted model, not a curated record.
GUUGAUCCUCUGGCCAACAUCUUCUCAUUUAACCUCAGGAUCCCUGAAGAGUACAUAGAUUGAAAGAGGCCAUUUGGCUCAUCAGAUCCAAGUUGAUUCCCAGGCCCUGGUCAGGCGUGCAAUGGAAUUCUCUAUGUUUGCUUGGAUGAGUGCAAUGCCAACAUCUCCCAGAA